Molecule: long non-coding RNA, 725 nt
Organism: Dermochelys coriacea (leatherback sea turtle)
Lineage: Eukaryota; Metazoa; Chordata; Testudines; Dermochelyidae
Exons: 3
Source: RefSeq, a predicted model, not a curated record
GGUUGCUGAACCCUCUAGAUUAACAGGUUAAUUGGAAAAGGUGUUCAGCUGUGGGAACUGGCAAAAGCCUUGCAGCUGACUAUUACAAGGCCUGAGAGACAAACCCCAGCUCCAGGAAGAGGUCUGUGGGGGAACUGCUAGCUGAAGGAGGAAGAUAUUAUGUGGGAUUGUUUGGAGUACAACUCCCAGCCCCAGAGAGAGGGUAGAGGCAAGCUUCUGUUUAGAUGAAGCAGAUACUGACUGCUUUAAAGAACUGAUGAAACAAGAAACGUCAGUUUUGAUGAACUUUGCAUCAAGAAGGUUUCUUGUGUCCAGAAUGGAAUUUCUGGUUAAAACAAUAGAGAAUUACAGAAUAGCUAAAGCCCAGCUGUCUGAUUCAAAGCAAGAACUUGGAUCUGGGUCUCCUACAUCACAGUUCAAUAGGUGCAGACAAUAGUCAAGAAGAUGGCUAAUUGUGAAAGGGGGAAAAACAUGAAGACUGAGAGAGAAAUUUCCUAAUCUGCCACCUUAUUUAUUACAUUUCCUGGAAAGCAAUGGAAUGUGACCAACGCAAUAAAGCUGGAGGUAAAUGCCAUUCAGUGGCUGUGACUCUGACGUUCUUCUCACACAUUAUCACAAAGCAUAAAUGCAUUAGAAUAUUGUUUUAAAAUUAUUUGAUCAUAUAAUUUGUCUUUUUUUUUUCAACACGAUAAACAUAAUAAAACAUUAAGAAUGAUAAAUUCGGU